GGGGCGAGCGUUGUCCGGAUUUAUUGGGCGUAAAGAGUUCGUAGGCUUUUUGGUAAGUUAUGUUUCAAAGACCGGGGCUUAACCUCGGAGAGGGGCAUAAUACUGCCAGAAUUGAAGGAUGUCGGGGCUACUGGAAUUGUCGGUGUAGGGGUGAAAUCCGUUGAUAUUGACAAGAACACCAAGGGCGAAGGCGGGUAGCUAGACAUUUCUUGACGCUGGGGAACGAAAGCUAGGGUAGCGAAAGGGAUUAGAGACCCCUGUAGUCCUAGCCGUAAACGAUGCUCGCUAGGGAUGGGGAAUUUAUUUUUCCGUCUCGCAAGCUAACGCGUUAAGCGAGCCGCCUGGGGAGUACGGACGCAAGACUAAAACUCAAAGGAAUUGACGGGGACCUGCACAACCAGUGGAGCAUGUGGUUUAAUUCGAGACGAACCGAAGAACCUUACCUGGACUUGACAUACUAGUUGCACAUCUCUAGAGAUAGAGACUCUUUCGAAGGUACUAGAACAGGUGCUGCAUGGCUGUCGUCAGCUCGUGUCGUGAGGUGUUCCCUUCAGUGGGGUAACGAGCGCAACCCCCGCCGUAUGUUGAAUAUUCAUACGGGACUGCCCGAGUCAUUCUCGGGAGGAAGGCGGGGACGACGUCAAGUCAGCAUGGCCCUUAUGUCCAGGGCUACACACAUGCUGCAAUGGAGCCGACAAUGGGUUGCCAAGUGGUAACACGGAGCUAAUCCCAUCAAACGGCUUCUCAGUGGGGAUUGAGGGCUGCAAUUCGCCCUCAUGAACGUGGAAUUGGUAGUAAUCGCGGAUCAGCCAAGCCGCGGUGAAUACGUUCUCAGGUCUUGUACACACCGCCCGUCAAGUUAGUGAAGUUGGAAGCACCCGAACCUCGAUUGAAUCGGGGGAAGGUGAGACCAGCGACAAGAAUUAAGUCGUAACAAGGUAACCAAUCUCUAGA
This 954-nucleotide ribosomal RNA is filed under the name uncultured bacterium. RNAcentral's name for it is "bacterial SSU rRNA". It matches the Rfam family "Bacterial small subunit ribosomal RNA", at positions 531 to 1511 of the family's 1533-position model. The record is from RNAcentral.